Molecule: ribosomal RNA, 253 nt
Filed under: uncultured bacterium
Lineage: Bacteria
Description: partial 16S ribosomal RNA
Rfam family: Bacterial small subunit ribosomal RNA
Source: RNAcentral
UACGUAGGGAGCAAGCGUUGUCCGGAAUCAUUGGGCGUAAAGAGCGUGUAGGCGGCUCGGUAAGUCCGCUGUAAAAGUCCAGGGCUCAACCCUGGAAAGCCGGUGGAAACUGUCGAGCUAGAGUCCGGAAGAGGCGAGUGGAAUUCCUGGUGUAGCGGUGAAAUGCGCAGAUAUCAGGAGGAACACCACUGGCGAAGGCAGCUCGCUGGGACGGUACUGACGCUGAGACGCGAAAGCGUGGGGAGCAAGCAGG